AAUUCGCCCUUGGGCGGUGUGUACAAGGCAUGCAAGUCGAACGGGUUAAACUUUUGUAGCAAUACUUGAGUUUGACUAGUGGCAAACGGGCGAGUAUCACAUUGGUAACCUGCCUUCAAGACGGGCACAACAUUGCGAAAGCGAUGCUAAUUCCCGAUGGUCUCUUUGGUGGAAUUCCAAAUGAGUAAACGUCCAAAAGACGCUUGAAGAGGGGCCUAUGGCCUAUCAGCUAGUUGGUAAGGUAAUGGCUUACCAAGGCUACGACGGGUAGCAGGCGUGAGAGCGCGACCUGCCUCAGUGGGACUGCGAUACUGCCCACACUCCUACGGGAGGCUGCAGUCGAGAAUAUUCCGCAAUGGGGGAAACCCUGAUGGAGCGACACCGCGUGGGGGAUGAAGGCCUUCGGGUCGUAAACCCCUUUUAUAUGGGACGAAGCGCAAGCUGACGGUACCAUACGAAUAAGAGGUUGCUAACUCUGUGCCAGCAGCAGCGGUAAUACAGAGACCUCAAGCGUUAUCCGGAUUCACUGGGCGUAAAGCGUCCGCAGGUGAUUUAUUAAGUCAUUUGUCAAAUCCCGGUGCUCAACGUCGGAACUGCGAAUGAUACUGGUAAACUUGAGGAUGGAAGAGGUAAGAGGAACUGCCGGUGUAGAAGUAAAAUGCGUUAAUACCAGCAGGAACACCAAAGGCGAAGGCAGCUUACUAAAACGCAUCCGACAUUGAGAGACGAAAGCGUGGGUAGCGAAACAGAUUAGAUACCUGUGUAGUCCACGCCCUAAACGAUGAGUGCUAAGCAUUGGAAGUAUCGACCCUUUCAGUGCUGUUCUAAUCAAGCUAACGCCUUAAGCAUUCCGCCUGGGGAGUACGGCCGCAAGGCUAAAACUCAAAGGAAUAGACGGGGACCCGCACAAGCGGUGGAACAUGUGGUUCAAUUCGACAACAAACGAGAAACCUUACCAGGGCUUGACAUGCAGCUGCUAGCGCACGGAAACGUGUGAUCUUCGAGAGUGCUGCACAGGUGCUGCAUGGCUGUCGUCAGCUCGUGCUGUGAAGUGUACCCUUCAGUGGGGUAACGAGCGCAACCUCCAUCAUUUGUUUAAUGACCAAAUGAAACCGCGGUCCUAAAGACCGAGGAAGGCGGAGAUGACGUCAAGUCAGCAUGGCCCUUACGCCCUGGGCCACACACAUGUCACAAUGGCAAUUACAAAGGGAAGCGAAGUCGCGAGAUGGAGCAAAUCCCACCAAAGAUUGCCUCAGUUCGGAUUGAAGGCUGCAACUCGCCUUCAUGAAGCCGGAAUCGCUAGUAACCGUGUAUCAGCUAUGGCACGGUGAAUACGUUCUCGGGCCUUGUACACACCGCCCAAGGGC
This 1367-nucleotide ribosomal RNA is filed under the name uncultured Parcubacteria group bacterium. Its description in RNAcentral is "bacterial SSU rRNA". It matches the Rfam family "Bacterial small subunit ribosomal RNA", at positions 28 to 1403 of the family's 1533-position model. The record is from RNAcentral.